RNAcentral lists this unclassified non-coding RNA (1457 nucleotides) under Hevea brasiliensis (rubber tree). The record is from RNAcentral. Lineage: Eukaryota; Viridiplantae; Streptophyta; Magnoliopsida; Malpighiales; Euphorbiaceae.
CUCAAGGUCUCAGUAAUGGCUGAAUCAACGAAGAACCAAACAGAAAUGGUGGAAAAAGAAGAUUACAUGGGAGACCUCUCUCAACUCCUUCCUCAUGAAGCCUCCAACUCUUCUACAUUCUCUGCCAAAGAGGUCAGCGUGGGAUUCAGUAAUAAUCCUCGAGAGCAUUUGUUUACUCUCUUUCUGAUUAGGCGACCUAGGCAGAGAGUGAUCAUCGUCAUUUGUGCAGAUUUCAAGCGACAAAACCUCAGCUGUUCAAUUAUCCAAGAAGAAGUCCAAAACCCUCAGCUGGCAAGAACAGCGGAGACUUGAAAGAAAGAAUAACCAACAAGAAGAGGAUGGACAAAAUAGGGGUUCCAAUUCCACAAUCUAACAUUGGGAUUGUUAAAGCAAAUGGGUUAUACCCCUGGUUCAACCUUUGGCAAGGGGAGCUCAGGAAGAGCUGAGCUAGUGGGGAUUGAGAUUCGGUGGACAUGAGUUGGGAUUGGAAUGGAGAACCACACAAGGAAAAGAGGAAGACAGAGUAGCUUGAGGCUGAGAAGAAGAAAAGGAAGGAAGAGGCUUUGAUGGCAGAGUUGGAUCUAGGCAAAAGUCACAAUGGUGUAGUAGGAGGGUUGUAGUAAAUUUCUUAAAAGCAAAAGCAGCUCUUGACCAAUUGGAGAACAAAGAAGUUGAGGAAAAAAAGAAUGAGGAGGAGGAGGAGGAGGCUGAACAGGAGGAGGAAGAGAUAACUGAGGAGGAUUUGCAAGAAAUAUUGAUAAAGUUGAGAGGUGAAUAUAGAUACUGCCUGUUUUGCGGAUUUCAGUAUGAAACAAUGGAAGCGCUUCUAUCCAACUGCCCUGGAACAGAUGAAGAUGACCACUAGACUAUAUUUAUCUCUCAGCUUUAUCAAUAUUAGUUGGAUAAACAUUGCUUCCAUCCAACUAAGAUGCCACCGAGAUACAAACUCGUUAAUGAGAUUUGGAAGUUAUGUGGGUAUACUUUUGCUUCCAUUUUCUCAUAUUUGCAGCGGGGUGGAAUUUCUGUUAUUUUGCUUUCUAGAGAGGAUGUGAAGAAAAAAGUAGGAAGGUGACGAGUCAUUUUCGUCUAUGAGAUCACAUGUUGCUGUUGGGAUUUACAUCCAUGGUAAAUCAUUUAAACAAUUCUUAUAGGCUCUUCCAUGCUGACGGAUAGAUAGCUGCACCAUCUUCAUCUUUAUCCAAUUACAUUGAGACAGAUAUCAUGCUGUGAAAUCAUAUGGAACUGAAGUUGCUUCAAUCAUCAUUAGAAAUGCGCAUAUCAUUAUUAGAAUAGUGAGGUACAAUAACAAUUCAAAGAGAAGCAAUAUUUUGAUGAUAUUGUUCAGGAUGUUUGUUGUUGCACUCUAUGUUGUUAAUAACUUAAUAUAACCACCCCACCCUGAUUGCCUUGUCAAAUGCAAUCUUGACUCGAGAAAGUUGCCUGCACCAUAACCUCUU